GAUCUAUAUGCAUAUGAAUUCAUUAUUUGUUCAUUUCCUUUUUCUUAUAUUAUUGCUUCGCCUUGUUUAUUGGUACCUAUUUUCGUAGUUAAUCCGAUUUAUAUUCCUUCCUUUGUUGGUUUCAAUUAUUAUUCAUUGAUUUGUCGUUCAUUAUUCGAAAAUUUUUAAUGAAUUUUCCUGUUUUUCUGCAGAUAGACUUGUAGUGGGUAUCACUACAUAUGUCGCAUUAAAAACAAUUGCAAAUAUCCUCUUUAUUUUUGCUCACCUCAUCGCCGCAAAAUUCAUAGUUGGAGCUCCAUUUGUUGAUGUUUCUAAUCUGUAAGUGGAGGAGAAGGCACCGAGCAAUGGAUGCCAGCGUCGAAGAAUUUCUUCAAGCUCAUAACAACUUUCUAUCUAUAAGGUACUCUUACUCGGACAUCAGGAUAAUCACAAAAAAAAUCAAACACAAAUUAGAGAAAGGGGGAUAUGGUUCUGUGUAUAGAGGACCACUUAGAAGUGGCAACGAAAUUGCGGCUAAGAUUUUGAACAAACCAAAAUCAAAUGGCCAAGACUUUAUAAGCGAAGUGCCCACCAUUGGAAGGAUCCACCACGUCAAUGUCGUGCAACUUGUUGGCAAUUGUUUUGAUGAUUCCAAACAAGGUCUUGUCCAUGAUUUCAUGCCAAAUGGAUAUUUGUAUAAGCACAUUUUCUCUAGAGAUGAUGGUAGAUUUCUUGAUCAUAAGAAAAUAUACGAGAUCUCUCUUGGUGUGGCCGAGGGAAUAGAAUAUUUAUAUCGGGGAUGUGAGAUGUAAAUUCUACAUUUUGACAUCAAGCCUCACAAUAUUCUUUUGGAUCAAAAUUUCACUCCGAAAGUUUAUGACUUCGGGCUUGCAAGACUUUAUCCCGCAAACCACAACAUAGUAUCGUUGAUAACUGCAAGAGGAACCUUGGGAUAUAUGGCUCCUGAGCUAUUCUACGGGGACAUUGGUGGCGUCUCUCAUAAAGCUGAUGUUUUUAGUUUUAGGAUGUUGCUUAUGGAAAUGGCCGGUAGGCGGAGGAAUGUAAAUGCAAAUAUGAAGCAUUCAAGCCAAACUUAUUUCCCUCUAUGGGUUUAUGAUCAACUCAGCAAAGCAAAUGAAGUUGAAAUGGAGAAGUAGAAGAGGAAAAAGAGAUAACUAGAAAAAUCGUCAUAGUUGCUUUUUGGUGCAUACGGUCAAUGCCUGAUGAUUGGCGAUUAAUGAGCUGAGUCCUAGACAUGCUUGAAGGAGAUUUUGAUAAAUUGCGACGGCCUCCGAAACCGCUUUUGUAUCCGUCCGAGAAGCCAGUUGACGAUGUUGACUUUGGAAUAAGACUUGAAUCAUUCUCAAUCCCGUCAAGUGCUCCAAUAACUUUUGAAGAGUACCAAUUUCGAAAUAACAAUGAAAUUACGGAAUUAUGCAGCGUUUAAUUUUAUUUUCUUCAUGUGUGAAUGAAACGCAAAAUGGACAUAGUUGCAUCAGAAGCAUAAUUGACAUGUAAUUGGUGAACCUAGAUGAUUUCAGCGUUUGUUAAUUCCUCUGUUUUGUAGAAGAAUUGCCUCAUGGCUAUCCAUUUACACUUCUUAUUUCGUGAGUGCUCU
Long non-coding RNA from Rhodamnia argentea, 1597 nucleotides. RefSeq lists it as uncharacterized. NCBI's taxonomy places the organism in Eukaryota, Viridiplantae, Streptophyta, Magnoliopsida, Myrtales, Myrtaceae. The transcript has 2 exons. The record is from RefSeq and is a predicted model, not a curated record.